GAGCUUGAUCUUGAAAUCAAAUCGGAUAGUGAUUGAAAACGAAGAAGGCAUAUGAGGAGUUCGACGUUGAAGUGGCGAUGGUAUCAAAAAAUUUGUAAGUAGAAAAUUCAUGGUGUAAUCGUUAGUAAACAAAGUUAUGAGAGAAAAUAUAAUUCAGUGAUGAAGAAAUACAAUUACAGAAGAAAGAGAGGAGAGGAGAGAGAGAAGAGAGAGAGCUAUGAGAGUAGGAUAAUAAGAUAUUAGUGGGAUUUUGAAAAAAUCAAUAGUUCUUGAGGUAUUUACCUAAUUAUGGUUGAAUCUAUGUACAUGACUCCUAAUUUAUCUAGAAUAUUUCAUUCUUAUUGGUUCAAUCCCCAUUCUCACAGUAGCUAUAGAUUAGUAUACUAAAAAUUGAAAGAUUAUUUUUUUCAUUUAUAAGAAACUAGUAAAUAAUAAAAUUGGUAGCUAAUGCGUCGCCAAUCAAUUUUAGCUUCAAAUUGAAUGUUUCAACGUUACUUAUAUAUAUGGCUGUGGUUAAUGAUAUUUUAAAUGGUGAUAUAUUAGUAUUAAGAAAUAAAACGAAAUAUUUUUUUAAUAUAAACAUUUUAAGAUUGAAAGAAUAUAAAAUUAAUCAGUCAAUUUAAUAUCAGCUUUUUUCGGAUCAUCAUACAAAAAGUUUCAAAAACUUAUAUAUAUGUUCACUAACAAGAUUUCUACAACACAAACUAACAAAACGUUUAGUUUUAAAGAAAAAUCACAAUGUCAACAUCUAAAUUUGCUUUCUUUUGCAUCGUCUUGGUUUUUUUUGCUACUUUUCAUGAAUGUGUCAACAAAGUUGAUGCAGCUGCACUAACAUGCACUAGAUUACCAAAUUCUAAUUGGUGCUGCAACACAACACCGAGAAGGUGCCGCGGCAGCAAAGUGGAGUGUGACGCGAUUUGUAAACCCAAACGCCUCUGAAUUUUUCAGAAGAGAAUUUCUAUACUUAUAUAUUCUAAAUUUUCUUUUACCUCUAUUAUUAUUAUUACUGAAAAUAAUAAAUAGGAAGUCAUGUUCUAGAGGAGCAUCUAGUGUUGGGUUUUCUUCGAAGAGCUGAAAUUGUUUUUAUUUUUAAUUCCGACUUUCUGCAAUUGUAUUUAAUAAGUUUAUAAUUUCAGAUAUAAUAAUUUGAAUCGAUUAA
Molecule: long non-coding RNA, 1159 nt
Organism: Brassica napus (rape)
Lineage: Eukaryota; Viridiplantae; Streptophyta; Magnoliopsida; Brassicales; Brassicaceae
Exons: 2
Source: RefSeq, a predicted model, not a curated record